This 464-nucleotide ribosomal RNA is filed under the name uncultured bacterium. RNAcentral describes it as "partial 16S ribosomal RNA". It matches the Rfam family "Bacterial small subunit ribosomal RNA", at positions 339 to 795 of the family's 1533-position model. The record is from RNAcentral.
CUACGGGAGGCUCCAGUGGGGAAUAUUGCACAAUGGGCGCAAGCCUGAUGCAGCCAUGCCGCGUGUAUGAAGAAGGCCUUCGGGUUGUAAAGUACUUUCAGCGGGGAGGAAGGGAGUAAAGUUAAUACCUUUGCUCAUUGACGUUACCCGCAGAAGAAGCACCGGCUAACUCCGUGCCAGCAGCCGCGGUAAUACGGAGGGUGCAAGCGGUAAUCGGAAUUACUGGGCGUAAAGCGCACGCAGGCGGUUUGUUAAGUCAGAUGUGAAAUCCCCGGGCUCAACCUGAGAACUGCAUCUGAUACUGGCAAGCUUGAGUCUCGUAGAGGGGGGUAGAAUUCCAGGUGUAGCGGUGAAAUGCGUAGAGAUCUGGAGGAAUACCGGUGGCGAAGGCGGCCCCCUGGACGAAGACUGACGCUCAGGUGCGAAAGCGUGGGGAGCAAACAGGAUUAGAUACCCUAGUAGUC